This is a long non-coding RNA of Hemicordylus capensis (graceful crag lizard), 4600 nucleotides long. RefSeq lists it as uncharacterized. The record is from RefSeq and is a predicted model, not a curated record. Lineage: Eukaryota; Metazoa; Chordata; Lepidosauria; Squamata; Cordylidae. The transcript has 3 exons.
GCCACCGCACCAAUUUUUGCAGGCCGGAAAGGGCCAAAAAUCAGUCUGGGAUGGGCUUGUGACGGUGAUUUAAGAGGCCAGCGGGAGGAGGGGGAACCUUUGCAGACCUCCCCCCAUGGCCUUUAGGAAGCCCCCCAAAGGGGCAACAGGGAGGAAAAAAAUCACCUUUUGAACUACUUAGAAGAUGUAAAGCUACCACUAGACUUAGCCAAUGGCAACAACUGAUAGUGCUUUCCAUGCCAUCUCACCCUGAGGAUGCAGAGAUUCAUGAUCAGGUUUCUUUGAGAUGCCUCUCUUUGUCCACUUAAAUGAAAAUAUGACAAAUGUGAUGUUGAUUCCACCAGAAUUGCCUUACAGAUUAGUGGAUGUGGUCCUUCAUUAUUUCAGACAACUAUCCGGAGCUAAGAUUUUCCUUUUAGCUUUAUAAAUUUUGAUACCUGCUUGCCAAAACUGCCAGAUACAGAAUGAUAUGAAACUUACCUUCAAGCAAAAAUAUGUAAUGGUGUCUUUUGUUGUGCUUUAAAACCAAUAUAAAUGAAUUUAUCAACCAGGAAUUUUCCUAGAGAAAUGUUUGUUUGAUUGAUUGAUUGAUUGAUUUCUAUACCACCCUUCCAAAAAUGGCCCAGGGCAGUUUACAUUAAAAUAAAACUAAAAUCAAUUAACUGCUAAAAUCAAAAACUGUAAAAACAACAUAAAACCAUUAUUAAAACAAUUAAAACAGUUUUUAAAACCCUGGAAAACCAGGCCAAACCUUUACAGUUUAAAAACAGUUUAGAAAUACUGGAAGGCCACACCAAACAGAUAGGUUUUAAGGGCUCUCCUGAAAGCCAAUAAUGAACUCAGAUUAUGGAUUUCUGCCAGGAGUACAUUCCACAGCCCAGGAGCAGCUACAGAGAAGGCCCGCCUCUGAGUCGUCACCAGAUGUGCUGGUGGUAACUGAAGACGGACCUCCUCAGAUGACCUUAACAUGCAGUGGGGAUUAUGCAGAAGAAGGUGCUCUCUAAGAUAACUCGGACCUAAGCCAUUCAGGGCUUUAAAGGUAAUAACCAGCACUUUGUAUUUUGCCCGGAAACAUAUCGGCAGCCAGUGCAACUGUUUCAAAACAGGCAUAAUAUGGUCUCUCCAGGUUGCCCCAGAGACCAAUCUGGCUGCUGCAUUUUGAAUUAACUGAAGUUUCCGAACUACAUACAAAGGCAGCCCCACAUAGAGUGCAUUGCAAUAAAGCCUGGAGAUUACCAGCCGAUGCACCACUGUUUUGAUAUCAUCCUCUUCAAGGAAUGGACGCAGCUGUUGAAUCAGCCAAAGCUGAUAGAAGCACUCCUGGCUAUAGCCUCAACCCGAGAUACCAGGGUGUGGUCUGGGUCCAGGAGUACUCCCAAGCUGCAUACCUGCUCCUGCCUGGGAGUGCAACCCCAUCUAGCACAGGAAGCUCUAACUCAUCCCUCAAAUUCUGAGCCCCUACAAUGAGCACCUCUGUCUUGCUUGCAUUCAGUUUCAAUUUGUUAUCCCUCAUCCAGCCCAUUACUGCCUGUAGGAAGGCAUUUAGGGAAUUAAUGCCAUUUCCUGAUGAUGAAGAUAAAAGAAGAAAUAGAUUAAUGAAGAUGAAAAGGAGAAGUAUUAAAUAUCAUUCUAAUACUUUUAUUUCUAAGAAACACCUUCAUCUCAAAACCUGGGUCUGACCAAGAGUUAAUCAGGAUUUUGUCUGCAGAAAAUGCUGAAAUCUAAAAUUGACAUAUAAGAUCUUAUCCCACUAUUUUGUCUGAUGGAGUUCCAAAUAAAACUGCAAGUUUUGAGAUCUUCAGACAAUUGGCAAGUAAAAGAUGCCUUCAGGCUAGCCCAUGCAUACAAGUGGCCUCCAAUUGAUCCCUCAGGACCAUCUCUAGCUACAGGAAUCAUGUGCAAAAGUAUAUUGUUUGAAGCAAGCAGCCACUGAUACACACCUCUCAUUUCCCCACAAAGCAAUGACUAACGUGCUGCCAGACAUCCUUAUUUUAACAAUAUGGUCAUGUUUUGGGAGAGGAUUUUCCAUAGUCAUGAAAGUGGGUGUAUAAUUGUACUGAGAUUGCUGGAAUAUGUUUGAACUCAUGGGAGAGCAAGGUCCUAGUCUGAACAACAGUUUUGUCAAAAUAGCAGCACCGGAUAAAAAGACAGCACACCAAAACUAGACACUCAUUAGAGAGGCAGCCAAAGAAAUCAAAUGCUAAGAGAGAACUUUGAUUGAAAAGGCCUGUGUUGGUUUGGGAUGGGGUGGUAGUCUUGUGGCUCAAGCAGGAGACAAAACUAAAUUCUCAUCCAGGCUUUUCCCAAGACAAGCAACUAUUUUGUGUAUUUACCAGCAAAGGUCUCCAUGAGGUUGGAUUCACAUCAAAAGUUGGAUUCACUUUUUCCACUACAGGGUAACUCACAGCAGAUGUCUAUCAUACAUGCUCUGGUUCACCACAUGUUCAUAUCAGCUUCAAAAACUUCAGCCUGUCCCACAGCCUGAAUCUGUGCUGAACCAUUCAUAGGAACAUAGGAAGCUGCCAUAUAUUGAGUCAGAACAUUGGUCUAUCUAGCUCAGUAUUGUCUUCACAGACUGGCAGCUGCUUCUCCAAGGUUGCAGGCAGGAAACUCUCUCAGCCCUAUCUUGGAGAAGCCAGGGAGGGAAUUUGGAACCUUUUGCUCUUCCCAGAGCGGCUCCAUCCCCAAAGGGGAAGAUCUCAUAGUGCUCAUAUGGAGUCUCCCAUUCAAAUACAACCAGGGUGGACCCUGCUUAGCUAAGGGGACAAGUAAUGCUUGCUACCACAAGACCAGCCCUCCUCCCUCCCUCACAAGGCCAGAAGCUGUGUGGAUCUCUUCCAUGAGGUCAUUGGAAGUCAUUUCAUGUUCUAAACAUGAAAACAUUUUGAGAUAUUUGCUUUAAUUUCUACCUCUAGAUUACAAAAGGAGUGGGUUUCUCAAGACCCUUCCCCAUAUAUCAGUCACAAUUUGGAAACCCAAAUGCAAUAUCAGUCAUACUUUUGCUAUGUUUAGUUCCUUGUAUCCAUAGUGUCUAGUCAAAUCUCUAAAUCAAGAGUGCUUCACUUUCGUUCCAUAAGGUAAAAACUUUGUGAGGUAACUUUCUUUUUGCUAUUUGGCUAAAAAAAGAAAGAACUUAUUUCAAAAAUGUAUGAGUUAUUGAUCUAGAAAAAGGCAGGAGGUUAGAAAUGGAUUCAGAAGUUGAAGGCUGGUUGCCAAAAGGAUUGUAGGAAAGAAAUUACAGAAAUAAAUUGGAACUCAAUCUUUUGAUUAAAAUAAGCAUUGCAACAUUUCUAAAAACCAUUUUAAAGUACUAUAUCAAUGACAUCAUAUGUAUUAAAUUAAAUAAAUGUAAUAAUUUGAUUCCAGACUUAUACUGGAAUUGUUCAGAACAUAAACAAUUUCAAAACAUGGUGGAUUUGUUGAAAAGUAGACAUCUUUUGGAGAGAAGUCUAGAGGUGAUUAGAGAAAUAAUCAACCUCUCUUUUACUUUGAGAUUACUUCUAGAAUAUUUAUCUGAUUCCAGAGGAUUAUCAAGAAUUGGCAGUUAAUCUGGGCAAUCAGACUAUAAUUGAAAUCACAAGCAAGUGGAAGACAGUAGAGGAUCCUCAGGUAGGUGAAUAUUCCAAAUUGCUUGCAUAUAUUGCCGAAUUUGCCCAAAUACAAGAUGACUCUAAAUUUAAGAUGAGCCCUUUAAAAAACAGAGGUUAAAUACAGGUCCUUAUUUACCCAAAAGAAAAAGGACUCUGAAUUUAAGAUAACCCCCUGAUUUCUAACAUCAAAGCACUUUGAAAAAAACUAGUCUUGGAUUCAGGUAAAUAUAGUAAAAACUGUAUGUGGUUAAAUUAACUCACCUUUUUAGGUAUAAGGAAGACUGUGAAAGCAUCUAUAAAACAAACAGUUUUUAUUCAAACUGGAAUAAAUGCAUAAUAUUUGGAAUAGAUGUUUUAAGUCAAAAUAUUCCUCAGGACCUGUUAUUUUAUGAUCUAUCAAUGAGAUUGGAGACUAUAAAAAACAUAAAUUGAAUCAGGGUAAUUGAGUGCAGUUUGAAGUUCAGAUAUCAAUUUACUAUGUUUUAAUAAUGAAUGAUAUGUGUUAUAUUGUGUUAAUUUAUGUGUCUUCAUUGUGUUAUUUUUCUGUAGUGUACAAUUGUGAACAGUGUGAUUCUAUGCAAAUUACAUAUAUAAAAUUUUUAUACCACCCUUCCAAAAGGCUCAGGGCACUUUACAUUAAAACAACACCAUUAUAAUCAAUUUAAAAACAGAAAUUAUAAAACAGCAUAAAACAGCAAUAAUUAACAAUUAAAACAUCAUAAAACCACAAUUAAAUAGCCAGAAAAAUUUAAAAACAAGUUUUAAAAACCUGAGAAAGCUUGGUUGAAGAGCUGUGUUUUCAGAAGUUUUUUUAAAAUUGCCAGAGAUGGGGAGGCUCGUAUCUUAGUAAGGAGCGCAUUCCACAAUCUCGGGGCAGCAGCCAAGAAGGCCCAUCUCUGUGUGGCCAUCAAACGAGUUGGCAGCAACUGGAGAUGGACCUCCUCAAGUGACCUCAAUGGAAGGUGGGGCUCAUAGCAAAGAAGGCGCUGUCUUAAAUACCCAGGGCCUAA